RNAcentral lists this long non-coding RNA (831 nucleotides) under Rattus norvegicus (Norway rat). Its description in RNAcentral is "long non-coding RNA NONRATT003270". The record is from RNAcentral. Lineage: Eukaryota; Metazoa; Chordata; Mammalia; Rodentia; Muridae.
CCUAAGGAGAAGCCUCAUCAACCAGGGAGCUGACUCUGUAGCACACAGGACCUUCAUCCCUGAACUGCACACGCCAAAGAUGAGUCAAGGACCUACCCUCCUCUCCUGCGGAAUUAUGGAAAAUGACAGAUGGCGAGACCUGGAUAGAAAAUGCCCUCUUCAGAUUGACCAGCCAAGCGCCAGCAUCUGGGAAUGUCUGCCUGAAAAGUAAUACUGUCCCCCCUCAGCCAACAGCACACCUGCCUCAACGCCAGAGCUGGCAAGACGCUCCAGUGGGCUUGCCCGCAGCCGCUCCCAGCCGUGUGUCCUUAAUGACAAGAAGAUCGGUGUGAAACGGCGGCGUCCAGACGAAGUGCAGGAGCAAAGACCUUCGCUAGACCUUGCCAAGAUGGCACAGGUUCACUAGCAUCUCUGCUGGAGUGACACUCGAGGAUUUAAGUCCACGAAAGGAACAUCGUGCUGCUACCUCAGAGCUGCAUUUGUCAGGACUCCAUAGAGAGAAACGCAAACUUCUGGUGGUGUGCUGUAGUUUCCUGGCAGCUUCCAAGGACUCGGGCUGACUGGAUGCACAUGCUGAGCUGGUGACUGGACUGAGCUGCCACUGCCUGCUGACCUGUGAACUGUGAACCUGUGAACCUGUGAACUCAACUGCUGAUUUCCAGACAGCACAGACGGAAGUUGCUUCAAAGACCCUUUCUAAACAGGUCCACUUCCCUGUGUCCUUUCUUUCCCACUACCUCUGGUGGGUGGUGGGCUAGCAGGGAGGUUAAAACGUUUAAGAACUAUCAUGAAAAGUAAGGUUUAAAAAUAUUAAAGUUACAGACCACAGCU